UACGUAGGGUGCGAGCGUUAAUCGGAAUUACUGGACGUAAAGCGUGCGCAGGCGGUUCUCCAAGUCCGUUGUGAAAGCCCCGGGCUCAACCUGGGAAUGGCAGUGGAAACUAGGGGACUGGAAUCUGGCAGAGGGGGGUGGAAUGCCGCGUGUAGCAGUGAAAUGCGUAGAGAUGCGGCGGAACACCGAUGGCGAAGGCAGCCCCCUGGGCUGAGAUUGACGCUCAGGCACGAAAGCGUGGGGAGCAAACAGG
RNAcentral lists this ribosomal RNA (253 nucleotides) under uncultured bacterium. RNAcentral's name for it is "partial 16S ribosomal RNA". It matches the Rfam family "Bacterial small subunit ribosomal RNA", at positions 524 to 776 of the family's 1533-position model. The record is from RNAcentral.